GAAGAGAAACCAACAGGGAUUGCCUYAGUAACGGCGAGUGAAGCGGCAAAAGCUCAAAUUUGAAAUCUGGCACCUUUGGUGUCCGAGUUGUAAUUUGGAGAGGCAACUUCCGGAGGGGCCCAGCCUAUGUUCCUUGGAAUAGGACGUCACAGAGGGUGAGAAUCCCGUAAUUGGCUGGAUGUACCCUCCAGUAUGUAGUGCCUUCUAUGAGUCGAGUUGUUUGGGAAUGCAGCUCAAAAUGGGUGGUAAAUUUCAUCUAAAGCUAAAUAUUGGUGAGAGACCGAUAGCGCACAAGUAGAGUGAUCGAAAGAUGAAAAGCACUUUGAAAAUAGAGUCAAACAGUACGUGAAAUUGUUGAAAGGGAAGCGCUUGAGACCAGACUCAGCCUCUGGCAAACAGCUGUCCUUCUGGGCGGUGCACUUGCCUGAGGCUGGGCCAGCAUCAGUUGGGAUGGUGGGAUAAAGACCAGGGGAAUGUGACUCCACUCAGGAGUGUUAUAGCCUCAGGUGCCAUAUCACCUAUCCUGACUGUGGACCGCGCUUUGGCUAGGAUGCUGGCGUAAUGGUCUUCA
This 571-nucleotide ribosomal RNA is filed under the name Tuber spinoreticulatum. Its description in RNAcentral is "eukaryotic LSU rRNA". It matches the Rfam family "Eukaryotic large subunit ribosomal RNA", at positions 56 to 643 of the family's 3401-position model. The record is from RNAcentral. Lineage: Eukaryota; Fungi; Ascomycota; Pezizomycetes; Pezizales; Tuberaceae.